AUUGAACGCUGGCGGCAGGCUUAACACAUGCAAGUCGAGCGGAGCGAGGGUGCUUGCACCUUAGCUUAGCGGCGGACGGGUGAGUAAUGCUUAGGAAUCUGCCUAUUAGUGGGGGACAACAUUCCGAAAGGAAUGCUAAUACCGCAUACGCCCUACGGGGGAAAGCAGGGGAUCUUCGGACCUUGCGCUAAUAGAUGAGCCUAAGUCGGAUUAGCCAGUUGGGGGGGUAAAGGCCUACCAAGGCGGCGAUCUGUAGUGGGUCUGAGAGGAUGAUCCGCAACACUGGGACUGAGACACGGCCCAGACUCCUACGGGAGGCAGCAGUGGGGAAUAUUGGACAAUGGGCGGAAGCCUGAUCCAGCCAUGCCGCGUGUGUGAAGAAGGCCUUUUGGUUGUAAAGCACUUUAAGCGAGGAGGAGGCUACUAGUAUUAAUACUACUGGAUAGUGGACGUUACUCGCAGAAUAAGCACCGGCUAACUCUGUGCCAGCAGCCGCGGUAA
This 501-nucleotide ribosomal RNA is filed under the name uncultured bacterium. RNAcentral's name for it is "partial 16S ribosomal RNA". It matches the Rfam family "Bacterial small subunit ribosomal RNA", at positions 30 to 523 of the family's 1533-position model. The record is from RNAcentral.